UGCCAGACUCCUACGGGAGGCAGCAGUGAGGAAUAUUGGUCAAUGGGCGGGAGCCUGAACCAGCCAUGCCGCGUGAAGGCGAGUGCCCUACGGGCGUUAAACUUCUUUUGUGCGGGAGCAAUAAGGGCCACGUGUGGCCCGAUGAGAGUACCGCACGAAUAAGCAUCGGCUAACUCCGUGCCAGCAGCCGCGGUAAUACGGGGGAUGCGAGCGUUAUCCGGAUUUAUUGGGUUUAAAGGGUGCGUAGGUUGUUUUAUAAGUUAGCGGUGAAAUACCGAUGCUCAACAUCGGGGCUGCCGCUAAUACUGUAGGACUAGAGAUCGGAUGCAGCAGGCGGAAUGUGUAGUGUAGCGGUGAAAUGCAUAGAUAUUACACAGAACACCGAUUGCGAAGGCAGCUUGCUAGGCCGGAUCUGACACUGAUGCACGAAAGCGUGGGGAUCGAACAGGAUUAGAUACCCGAGUA
This 465-nucleotide ribosomal RNA is filed under the name uncultured bacterium. RNAcentral describes it as "bacterial SSU rRNA". It matches the Rfam family "Bacterial small subunit ribosomal RNA", at positions 329 to 792 of the family's 1533-position model. The record is from RNAcentral.